UGGGGGAUAUUGCACAAUGGGCGAAAGCCUGAUGCAGCGACGCCGCGUGGGGGAUGAAGGCCUUCGGGUUGUAAACUUCUUUUGCUCUGAACAAGGCAUGCUAAUGGGUGUGUUGAGUGUAGGGGUUGAUUAGCGCCGGCUAACUACGUGCCAGCAGCCGCGGUAAUACGUAGGGCGCGAGCGUUGUCCGGAAUUAUUGGGCGUAAAGGGCUUGUAGGUGGCUGGUUGCGUCUGUCGUGAAAGCUCAUGGCUUAACUGUGGGUUUGCGGUGGGUACGGGCUGGCUUGAGUGCAGUAGGGGAGGCUGGAAUUCCUGGUGUAGCGGUGGAAUGCGCAGAUAUCAGGAGGAAUACCGGUGGCGAAGGCGGGACUCUGGGCUGUUACUGACACUGAGGAGCGAAAGCAUGGGGAGCGAACAGG
Molecule: ribosomal RNA, 419 nt
Filed under: bacterium
Lineage: Bacteria
Description: partial 16S ribosomal RNA
Rfam family: Bacterial small subunit ribosomal RNA
Source: RNAcentral